RNAcentral lists this long non-coding RNA (3099 nucleotides) under Nicotiana tabacum (common tobacco). Its description in RNAcentral is "long non-coding RNA (NTAB_LNC003120)". The record is from RNAcentral. Lineage: Eukaryota; Viridiplantae; Streptophyta; Magnoliopsida; Solanales; Solanaceae.
GCAAAAUACACAAAAAUAUACCUAAACCUAGACUCUACCUAUAAAGUAAUGCUUAAAAAAUCUAAAAGGGACAAGAAAUAACGCUGAAGGAGGAAGCUAAAAAAAUCUGCGCACAAUACAGACCCACCCCCUCUCGGAUCAUCUUCCACACACCAGCAUACCCCAUCAGCUUCCCCUUCAUUUUCAACGCUGAACCAUCGGCUGAACACAAGAAUGGGAUCCUAGAUCCCUUGAGAAGAAACGAGGCUCUCUUCUUCUUCUUCUUCAACGGAGCUUCAAACAAAAGAAACGACCCCCGUCCCCAUUCUUCAUCUUCUCCGACGCCUGAGCGUAGCAGCCAUAGCCAUGGUGCUUCUGCUUCUUCCCGUUAACAACACCUGAAAUACACAUCUACCUAUUUCUUAGGUUUCGAUCUAUGGUCCCAAAUAUGGAGUACGGUUGGGUUCGAGUCUGAGUUUUCUGGUAAGCGUUGAGGUCAUUGUUCGUCUCCGCUUCUGUCCGUGGUCGCCGAUCCGGGAUAUGUUUGUUGAGGACGGGUUCUUGGUUCAACAUUAGCCUAUCUCUGUUGUUUCACAAUUCAUUUUGGAGGUUUUGUAUUGAAUCAAAUAUUGGAAAGAACUACGGCUAAAGAUUCUCUUAAAGGUUCAGUUUCUUAUUUUUGAUUUCCUUCUGCUUUGAUAAAUUUGCUCGUGACUGAUUCAUUACCCAUUUGCCAAUACUCCCCUUCCCUUUUGUUUUACAUGUGAAUUGAUUUGUUUACUUAUUUUAUGAUUUUGUUGUGAUUAGUGACCUUGAGUACCCAACUGUCAUGUGAACGUCUGUUUGUUAUUAAUUUGUAUGAUGUUAUGGAGUAAUUGCACAGAGAAUCGAAUUAAAGUGUCAUUGCCAUAUUUUGAAUAUGUUAUGGUAUUUUUAUGGUAAAAAAAAAUAAGAAUGUAUUUUUACUUUAUUUGUUUGGAUCAAUAGUAGCAUACUUAGGCCGUUAAUAUUCAUAAACAUUCGUAGUUUGUUUUAGUUGAGUAAAGCCCUUUUGGAAUAAUUUGAGGCUUGCCAUGCCAAACCAAAUCCAUAAUCCAUGGCCCUCAGAUAAUUAACUUCGACUCUUUAGAAUUCGAGGCGCGCCAUUUAGCGAACUUCCAUGGCCCUCGCAAAUUUGCAAACGCGUAAUUGCUUUAGGCGCAUUAGUUUAAUAAUUUACCUUCCUAAACUCGGGUGCACAUUUAUGUGACCGAAAUCCAAAUCUCAACGUUAGGUGAAAUUUGUUGUAGACUACGGGUGCAUUUAUGUGACGUGGUUCAAGACAUAUUUUAAAUGACGUUGCAAUUUUCCUUAAAAAAUUAAAUAAAGCGGAUAAAAGUUUAAAAUUUCACAUAGGUUCAAAAUGUAUUAAAAUCAUAUAAUAGGCCAAUUAUAAUAGUUGAGCGACCGUGCUAGAACCACGAAAUUCGGGAAUGCCUAACACCUUCUCCCGGGUUAACAGAAUUCCUUACCCGGAUUUCUGGUUCGCGGACUAUUAAACAAAGUCAAGCUUUUCCUCGAUUCGGGAUUCAAUCGGUGACUUGGGACACCAUAAAUCUCCCAAGUGGCGACUCUGAAUCUUUUAAUAAUUAAUCCUGUUUCGAUUGUCCUUUAAUUGAAAAAACUCCUUUAUACCCUUGUGGGGGUAGGAAAAAGGAGGUGUGACAACCGUUACCGAACCGUUAACCCAAUAUCCCGAUAUCAAUACCCCAAUAGCUUUUUUCAGUUCGGGCUAUCGGUUAUACCCGAUAUAUGCCCAGCCUUACCUUAAAUCGAGGUAUUCCAACUUUGUUUUUGUUAAAACUCAUAUAAAAAUGCAUAUUAAUUGUUUUGAAUGUAUUGUAUGUUGUUUUGUGGUUUUGUUGCGAUUAAAUUGGUAUUUUAUUUUUAUCCGGACUAAGAUAUUAAUGUUGUAAAAAAAUCUAAUAUAAUUGUGAAAUCGUUAUUAUUUGUUAAUAAAUUACUAUUAAUGUUUUAUAUGUAUUUUUGUGAUUACAAUAUAUUUGUUGUGUUUUGUUUGGUUUAAAUUAUUUUUUUGCUUAAAGACAAGUAAUAUAGUGCCUUUUAGGGUAGUAAAAUGUAAUGCCUUUUAGCGUAGUAAAAUGUAGUGCCUUUUAGGGUAAUAAAAUGUAAUGCCUUUUAACGUAGCAAAAUAUAGUAUCUUUUAAUGUAGUAUAAUGUAGUGCUUUUUAGCGUAGUAAAAUAUAGUGCCUUUCAACGUAGUUUCCCUAUAGUUUAAGUAUACUUAAAAAUACGCCAAAUAACUGAUAGAUCAAACACAAACUUUGUCCAAUUAUAUUCAACAUAUAUUUGAUGUUACUGAGCCACAAAUAUCGAGCCUAGAACCCAUAUGAAUCUUUAAUAAUUAAAUAUUAGAUAAUUAUAAAAAUUAAUUAUUUAAUUUACAAACAAAUAUAUAAAAUUAUAAAACUAACACAUAGAAGAAUUUAGGAUAAAUUGGUGCUACUGGGCCGCAAAUAUCAAGCCUGGAACCUAUAUGUGAAAAUUUAAUAGUAAAAAUUAAUUAUUUAAUUUACAAACUAACAUAUAAAAGUAUAAUAAAACUAACACAUCGAAGAAUUGGUGCUACUGGGCCGCAAAUAUCGAGCCUAGGACCCAUUUGUCAAUAUUUAGUUAUAAAACUUAAUUAUUUAAUUCACAAACUAACAUAUAAAAUUAUAAUAAAACUAAUACAUCAAAGAAUUUGUGCUACUGGGCUGCAAAUAUCGAGCCUGAAACCCAUAUGCCAAUAUUUAAUUAUAAAAUUUUAAUUAUUUAAUCCAAAAACAAACAUAUAAAUUAUAAUAAAACUAACACAUCGAAGAAUUGGUUCUACUGGGCUCUAAAUAUGGAACCUGGAACCCAUAUGUCAAUAUUCAAUUAUAAAAUUUUAAUUAUUUAAUCCAAAAACAAACAUAUAAAAUUAUAAUAAAACUAACAUGUAAUUAAUGUUGUUUAAUUUACAGUAGACGACAUGGAGACGCCGCCUAUUCAUCCCAGACCUUUUAGCGAUGAGCUACUCUCGUUGCAGGGCGGCCAUAGGUCAGCCCACAUAUGGGAGGGUGAAUUACUAAUCCAGAC